Molecule: ribosomal RNA, 497 nt
Filed under: uncultured bacterium
Lineage: Bacteria
Description: partial 16S ribosomal RNA
Rfam family: Bacterial small subunit ribosomal RNA
Source: RNAcentral
GAUGAACGCUGGCGGCGUGCCUAAUACAUGCAAGUCGAGCGAACAGACGAGGAGCUUGCUCCUCUGACGUUAGCGGCGGACGGGUGAGUAACACGUGGAUAACCUACCUAUAAGACUGGGAUAACUUCGGGAAACCGGAGCUAAUACCGGAUAAUAUAUUGAACCGCAUGGUUCAAUAGUGAAAGACGGUUUUGCUGUCACUUAUAGAUGGAUCCGCGCCGCAUUAGCUAGUUGGUAAGGUAACGGCUUACCAAGGCAACGAUGCGUAGCCGACCUGAGAGGUUGAUCGGCCACACUGGAACUGAGACACGGUCCAGACUCCUACGGGAGGCAGCAGUAGGGAAUCUUCCGCAAUGGGCGAAAGCUUGACGGAGCAACGCCGCGUGAGUGAUGAAGGUCUUCGGAUCGUAAAACUCUGUUAUCAGGGAAGACCAAAUGUGUAAGUAACUAUGCACGUCUUGACGGUACCUAAUCAGAAAGCCACGGCUAACUACGUG